UCCUACGGGAGGCAGCAGUGGGGAAUAUUGCACAAUGGGGGAAACCCUGAUGCAGCGACGCCGCGUGAGUGAAGAAGUAUUUCGGUAUGUAAAGCUCUAUCAGCAGGGAAGAAAUACUGACCUUACGGUCAGCAGACGGUACCUGACUAAGAAGCCCCGGCUAACUACGUGCCAGCAGCCGCGGUAAUACGUAGGGGGCAAGCGUUAUCCGGAUUUACUGGGUGUAAAGGGAGCGCAGACGGUGAGACAAGUCUGAAGUGAAAGCCCGGGGCUCAACCCCGGGACUGCUUUGGAAACUGCCUGAC
This 305-nucleotide ribosomal RNA is filed under the name uncultured bacterium. RNAcentral describes it as "bacterial SSU rRNA". It matches the Rfam family "Bacterial small subunit ribosomal RNA", at positions 337 to 641 of the family's 1533-position model. The record is from RNAcentral.